GGUUUGAAAGGAUGAUCCGCCACACUGGGACUGAGACACGGCCAGAAUCCUAUGGGAGGCACCAGUGGGGAAUAUGGACAAUGGGGGGAACCCUGAUCCAGCCAUGCGGCGUGUGUGAAGAAGGCCUUUUGGUUGUAAAGCACUUUAAGCGAGGAGGAGGCUCCCGAGAUUAAUACCGGACAAUUGACGUUACUCGCAGAAUAAGCACCGGCUAACUCUGUGCCAGCAGCCGCGGUAAUACAGAGGGUGCAAGCGUUAAUCGGAUUUACUGGGCGUAAAGCGCGCGUAGGUGGCCAAUUAAGUCAAAUGUGAAAUCCCCGAGCUUAACUUGGGAAUUGCAUUCGAUACUGGUUG
This 354-nucleotide ribosomal RNA is filed under the name bacterium LimB-10-A-309. RNAcentral describes it as "bacterial SSU rRNA". It matches the Rfam family "Bacterial small subunit ribosomal RNA", at positions 289 to 639 of the family's 1533-position model. The record is from RNAcentral.